RNAcentral lists this unclassified non-coding RNA (334 nucleotides) under soil metagenome. Its description in RNAcentral is "partial contains 5.8S ribosomal RNA, internal transcribed spacer 2, and large subunit ribosomal RNA". The stretch from base 1 to 120 matches the Rfam family "5.8S ribosomal RNA", at positions 35 to 154 of the family's 154-position model. The record is from RNAcentral.
GAUGAAGAACGUAGCGAAAUGCGAUACGUAAUGUGAAUUGCAGAUUUCAGUGAAUCAUCGAAUCUUUGAACGCACAUUGCGCCCAUUAGUAUUCUAGUGGGCAUGCCUGUUCGAGCGUCAUUUCAACCCUUAAGCCUAGCUUAGUAUUGGGAAUCGACUUUACUGUCGUUCCUCAAAUUCAACGGCGGAUUUAUAGCAAUCUCUGAACGUAGUAAUUUUUUUUCUCGUUUUUGAAAUACUAUAAACCUCAGCCGCUAAACCCCCAAUUUCUUAUGGUUGACCUCGGAUCAGGUAGGAAUACCCGCUGAACUUAAGCAUAUCAAUAAGCGGAGGA